This is a non-coding RNA of Camellia sinensis, 1927 nucleotides long. The record is from RefSeq and is a predicted model, not a curated record. Lineage: Eukaryota; Viridiplantae; Streptophyta; Magnoliopsida; Ericales; Theaceae.
CAUUAUUGAGGGAGGGGUAAGGUUUCCCUUAAACCCACUUUUGAGAGAGUGCAUGUGCACUUGGUCCCUUGCCUCUAUUUAACUCUCUGUUAACAUCUAUGGAGUUGUGAAUGGGGUUGUUAAGUUAAACCAAGCCUAAGGCACCCACCUUGGACAGAUGAAAAUUUUGUCCAUCUAUGUUUUUACAGCCUACAAUGCCAAAGCCCCAAUUAAGGACCUUAAGUAUUACCUAAGGCUAAAAAGUGCCUUAAAGAAACUCAUCACCCUCCUUCUAGAAACCAACAAGGACCUAGAAGAGGAUAUUGUGACAAUCUCUGGGAACUGGGAAUUCGAGAGCUCUCCACAUACCUAGCGUAUACCCAGAGCCUUCAGAAGAAUCACAACAUCAACGUAUUGAAACACUUUUGUGAAUACGUUGUUUGUCAGGCAAAACUAGAGAAUAUUUGGAACCUCUUUGAGGAGUAGAAGUCUGCUCUAAAAUUUAUGGGUUUUGAAUCCUUUACCUCCCAUUUGAAAGAUGAAAAGCGGUCGUCCCAAGCUUGUUUCGAACAACAAGAAAGCUCUACUAGUGGUCUCACUAAAAGAAUUUAUGAUCCUAUCAUCAACCUUACUGACCCAUCCAUGGACUUAGAGGUCGAAGAUUUAGUUGUUGCCCUCGUGCGCCAUUCUUCAAGAACUUCGAAAACCACUACCCUUCCUUUCGCUAAGAAAAAAAGAAAAUUACAAAAAGGUGCAGAACUUUUGGCAGUGAAUCAGGAAGUAGGAGCCACACUUUCUACAACCACCGCCUCUACUGCUAGUGCUUGUAUUGAUGCUGGUGGGUCCAUUACCUGUGAAUCUGUGAAAUUGAAAUGAUUUGCCCCUCUUGUAGCCGCUGCUGCUGUUGUUGACCGAGAGGACCCUUUUGCCAAACGCCCCAAGACACAAGGCGGUAGCAAGACUAUGUCCUAUGAGGUUUUUGAUGAUCAUUUUAGGCCUCAAAUGAUACUUCCCAACCGUUGCUAUAUGUCUACGAAUGACAGCCUAAUGGAAGUUCCAGAACUGAGCUUCUAACUUAGCAAAGGUUUUACCCUGCCCAGGGACAUGGCCUCCCUUCAGUGUUAAGAUGAUAUUUCUCUAGUUCGUAUUUGUGUGGUCAGCGCUUUUAGGGCCAUCCAGGUCUGUCAUGAAAGUCUGACUAGAAUGGACUCUUACAAGGCUUAAGCUUGCAUCCAAUCUAUCAAGGCCUCUGGUACUUUGAAAGUUGUUACUGAUAUGGAGAAGAAACUCAAGUUGAUGUCCAACCAGGUUCUGAAGCUUACAAGUGAGAAAGAAGUUGCUAAGAGUGCAGCCCAAUUGGCCGAGACCCAACUAGAAGAGUCUUAAGAGAACCUGGCCUCUACUCUUGCUGUGAAUGAGAUGCUGAAGAAAGACGAUAAUGUGAAGCUGGAGAAAUGCCGCAAGGACAUUAAUAAGAAAUAUCUACAAUAGAUCUACAAGCUUCAGGGUGAUAUCUUCAUUGAUGGCUGGAGGGCUACCUUGGCUAAGGUUGGGAUUACCCUUGGUUCCUUCCGGUACUCUAAUCCAAUUCUGUUUUGGAAGAAAGAUUCACCACUAGCAGAGGAAGCUAAAGGGGAGGACUCCUAGGAAGACCUUGAGGAGGAUAUGGAGGCUAUCCUGAAGAGGAGUGCCCAGAAUGCUGUUGUUCUUACUGAUGAGGUUGAACUUCCUGCCCCUAAGCCUCAAGAGAAAACUUCAUUUACUGCUCCAUAUGUUCCUCCUGCCACAUAAAUUCACGCCCCUGCUAAAGGUGGCGAUGUUGGAGUUGUUUCUUUUAGAGCUUCUAAAGUUGGUGUUACCCAGACCCCUGCCAUGAUAAAAGAUAGAGAGACUUGCCUUUUUUUUUUCUUUUUUUUUUUUUUUGACUGUGGCCCAAAAACUUUGCAUG